RNAcentral lists this ribosomal RNA (1635 nucleotides) under Neoechinorhynchus sp. JYW-2010. Its description in RNAcentral is "eukaryotic LSU rRNA". It matches the Rfam family "Eukaryotic large subunit ribosomal RNA", at positions 951 to 2369 of the family's 3401-position model. The record is from RNAcentral. Lineage: Eukaryota; Metazoa; Acanthocephala; Eoacanthocephala; Neoechinorhynchida; Neoechinorhynchidae.
CUGGUUCCCUCCGAAGUUUCCCCCAGGAAAGCUGAUGUCGUCGUCGUCGUCGUAACUGGAGUUGCUGCUUUGCGGCAGCAGCUGCUAGUAGACAGUUUUGUCUGGUAAAGCGAAUGAUUAGAGGCAUUGGGGACCAAUUGUCCUCGACCUAUUCUCAAACUUUAAAUGGGCAAUGAGCCCGCUCACUUCUUGCGAGCACUCUGUUGGGGCGGCUGAGUGUCGGGCGCAAGUGCAGCGGCGUCAAGUGGGCCAUUUUUGGUAAGCAGAACUGGCGAUGUGGGAUGAACCAAACGUUGAGCUAGGGUGCCGAAAGUACCGCUCAUGAGAUACCAUGAAAGGCGUCAGUCGAUAUUGACAGCAGGACGGUGGCCGCAGAAGUAGGAAUCCGCUAAGGAGUGUGUAAAAACUCACCUGCCGAAUCGACUGGCCCUGAAAAUGGAUGGCGCUAGAGACGCAUAUCCAUGCUCGACCGUCAAGGCCAAAAACGCAGAAUAGCAGCAACGAUGAUCAAAAGGGCUUGACGUGUAGAAGGGCGUAGGCGGUGGCGUGGAAGUCUUGACCGUGAGGUGGGGCGGAGCCGCCGUCAGUGCAGAUCUUGGUGGUAGUAGCAAGUAUUCAAAUGAGAGCAUUGAAGACUGAAGUGGAGAAAGGUUCCAUGUGAACAACAUUUGAACAUGGAUCAGCCGAUCCUAAGAGAACGUGAAAGCUCGUGAUUAAGUGCACUGCAUUGCGCAGCGCGAUCGAAAGGGAAUCGGGUUAAUAUUCCCGAGCCAGGAUACGGCUUAUGUCUGACAGUUCGUCAGCACCGCAAGGUGUGCGUUUUGCGCAGACGGCGUCGGACAUGAGUGGUGACACACGCAAGCCCAAAGAAUAACUACGCGAAGUCCGGAGAAGAGUUUUCUCUUCUUUGUAAGGACCCUUAUCCCUGGAAUCAGAUUGUCUGGCGAUAGGGUACGGGGUCCGUAAUGCAGCGCGAUUCCUGCGAUGUACCGUGCGCUUCGCGUGGCGCGUGAAAAUUUGGGUGCGAGAACGUUAAGGCCGUACCUGUUCGUACUGAUUUCCGCAGCAGGUCUCCAAGGUUAACAGCCUCUAGUCCAUAGGGCAAAGUAGGCAAGGGAAGUCGGCAAAUUAGAUCCGUAACUUCGGAAAAAGGAUUGGCUCUAAAAGCUGAGCUGGUCGGGCUGUCGCAAGAAGCAGUUCUGUUGACUCUUGGCUCUGUCUCAGUGAUCGCACGCCCGCAAGGGCGCCGAUUUCGAGGACGGACUUUGAUGCAGCGUCCAGUGGGCGGUGAUGGCUAUGCCGCGCAUUGGCGUGUAAAUCCCUCGCGGGAUUGAAACGCUUUUGCGCGGAUCCGACCAGCGUUAGACAGCUGGCCUAGAACUGGUAUGGACGAGGGGAAUCCAACUGUUUAAUUAAAACAAAGCAUUGCGAUAGCUGUAGCCGGUGUUGACGCAAUGUGAUUUCUGCCCAGUGCUCUGAAUGUUAAAGUGAAGAAACUCAUUAAAGCGCGAGUUAACGGCAGAUGUAACUAUGACUUUUUUAAGGUAGCCAAAUGCCUCGUCAUCUAAUUAGUGACGUGCAUGAAUGGGUUAUUGAGAUUCCUACUGUCCCUGUCUGCAGCCCAGCGAAACCACA